ACCUGGGUGGCUUAGUCUGUUAAGCCUCUGACUUCAGCUCAGGUCAUAAUCUCAUAGUUUGUGAGUUCAAGCCCCAUCUCAGGCU
Molecule: transfer RNA, 85 nt
Organism: Felis catus (domestic cat)
Lineage: Eukaryota; Metazoa; Chordata; Mammalia; Carnivora; Felidae
Rfam family: tRNA
About the family: Transfer RNA (tRNA) molecules are approximately 80 nucleotides in length. Their secondary structure includes four short double-helical elements and three loops (D, anti-codon, and T loops).
Source: Rfam